Non-coding RNA from Pelobates cultripes (western spadefoot toad), 620 nucleotides. NCBI's taxonomy places the organism in Eukaryota, Metazoa, Chordata, Amphibia, Anura, Pelobatidae. The record is from the annotation of a GenBank genome assembly.
AAUCACCUUAAAUACUUGUCUACAAUAAGCACCUAUCACGACUGAUAUAUUUGCUAGUUCUAUCUACAUAUUUCUCUAAAGAUGAUGGCCCAUUGUUCUGUAAAGGUGGUUCUGAAUGAUUGCAUUUUCACACCCCCACAAUGGUCGUGAUACAGUCAUCAGUCAUGGAGCUGCUGAAGAUGCUGUUGUUGAAGUUGCCUCCAUGGUGCUUUUUGGACUACAACACAUGAUUCCACGUCAGCCCUGGGCUACAAAACUUUAUAGGAUUUCUAAUGCAACAUCAUCUAGGGCAGAGGUAGGCAACAUUUGGCAUGCCAAAUUUUGCAGACUACAUCUACCAUAAUGCUGGCAAAGUAUCAAGGGAGAUAUCCAAACAUCUGGAUUGUCGAAGUUUGCCUACCCCUGAUAUGAUAUUAAGGUGAUAAUUGGAUCAUUACCAAAAAAUGAGAUUGUUUACAAGACUUGAACUUACUUAGAGUCAUUGUAGCAAUUAAAUGUGUUUUGGGAUGAGAGCUAUCAUGAGUAGAUGCAUGGGACGGCAGGGCCGGACUGGGAGAAAAAUUCGGCCCGGGCAUUUUUUUAACACAGCGGCCCACUAAAAAGGGGGCGGGGCAGAGGAG